UACGGGGGGAGCAAGCGUUGUUCGGAUUUACUGGGCGUAAAGGGCGCGUAGGCGGCCACCGCAAGUCAAUUGUGAAAUCUCCGGGCUUAACUCGGAAAGGUCAACUGAUACUGCGGGGCUAGAGUGCGGAAGGGGCAACUGGAAUUCUCGGUGUAGCGGUGAAAUGCGUAGAUAUCGAGAGGAACACCUGCGGCGAAGGCGGGUUGCUGGGCCGACACUGACGCUGAGGCGCGAAAGCCAGGGGAGCAAACAGG
RNAcentral lists this ribosomal RNA (254 nucleotides) under uncultured bacterium. RNAcentral's name for it is "partial 16S ribosomal RNA". It matches the Rfam family "Bacterial small subunit ribosomal RNA", at positions 524 to 776 of the family's 1533-position model. The record is from RNAcentral.